Molecule: long non-coding RNA, 10438 nt
Organism: Acinonyx jubatus (cheetah)
Lineage: Eukaryota; Metazoa; Chordata; Mammalia; Carnivora; Felidae
Exons: 2
Source: RefSeq, a predicted model, not a curated record
AUAAAUAGAGUAUGUUUAGGGUUUAGUACUAUCUGUGGUUUCAGGCUUCCCCUGGGCAUCUUGGAACGUGUCCCUCUCAGAUAAGGGGGAGACUACCGUACAGAAAAGCUGUAGCUGCUGUGUAAAAGCAUAGCUUCAAGUCAGGUCUUCUGCCAGCCCCUGCCACCAGACAGCCGCCCCCCAGCCCUUCCUGUGUGGAAGUAUUAGAGCUGCCAUGUUUUUGUAACUUUACCUCCCACCACUCAUACCGUAAACCCCACAGGACUACCUGUGGGUCCAGACGACAUCUUGUGUUUCCCACAUAACGCAAUGCUUCUCUCUCAUCUUCUGCUCUUUUUUACUGAAAGGGAUACUGAUUCUGCCAGUCCCAAGUCUACUCCUGUCUCUGUGAGGCUCUUCCCUUGCACCACCCAGAAGGAACCGGUAUUUGUGCUCUUGGACACACUGCUGAUUCAUCUAUGUCCAACCGUGUGCCAGACCUGAAUGAAAGUUGUCUGGAGACCAAUGGGCUUUGCCAUUUUUGACACAGACCAUGUCUUGGUCACUUAGCACAGUGCCUGGCAUUUCUCUAUUUACUGCUAUUUGGUGAUACAGACUUGCCUGAUACAGACUCACUAAAUAAGUGAAUGAUGUAAGUGGAGACAUGUUGUGCCCUUUCUGGGGCCAUUGGAUUUGUGAGCUCCAUAGUAUGGUCACCAAAUUAUGAAGUGCCUUCUGUGUGCUAAGCACUACAAGGAUAUGCAAAAAAAAUUCUGAGCCCAGAUCCCAUGCUCAAGUUGUCAAGGGAGCUGAUGAUUGCUGAAUGCCUACUGUGUGCCAGAUGCCCUAGUGAACCCUUCUUAAAUGUUGUAUCAUCCUCUCAUUAAUCUUAUGAGGGAGGCUUAAGAUCCCAGUUUUUACCAGUAAGGAAACUGAAGCUCAGGGAAGUUCAGGAACUCACCCAGAGUCCCGCUGUAAGUGGUGAAGCCAGGACUCAAACCCAGGUCCUUCCUGACUCCGGAGUCUGUUCUGUUUUCACAACAGACUGCUGGUUAAGGGAGACAAGACGAGACUUGCAUGCAUUUCCUUGGCUGCCUUUUCAGAUGUACCAGUCCACUUUUGUUGCCCAGGCAGGAAGAACUGCUAGCUUGCUAACACUGCUGGGUGGAGGCCCCCGGGUGCAUCCUAAAUAUGCCUUUGGCCCAGUGGGUCCUGAGCAGGCAGACGUGCUUCCAGUGGCCCAGAUCUCCUCUUCCUGGCAACUGCACCUUCAAGGUGGUGAGCCUCUUCAGGCACCAGGCACUGAGAUGCAUUUGGAAAUUUGGUGAAGGUUCUGGAAUGCCUUUACAAAUGCCUUUCUACCCUACAUCCUGUUCCAACCUGGAUGUUCCAUCAGACGAUUCUCCUGAAACAGCUUUAAUCAUAUUUAAUAUUCUCCUGUAAAAAGAUUGGCAUCUAAAUGCAAAGUGUAUCCUGGAUUGGAUCCUGGGAUAGAAGAAGGACAUUAGCGGAAAAAGCCGUGGAAUCCAAAUCAAGCCUGGAGUUUAGUAAAUAAUAAUAUACCAGUAUCAGCUUCUUAGUCUUGACAAAUGUAGCAUACAAUGCAAGAUGUUAGCAUCAGGGGCGAUAGGAAACUUUCUGUACUAUCUUUGCAACUUUCCUGUAAAUCUAAAAUUAUUCCUGGGCCCCUGACUGGCUCAAUCAGUAAAGCCUGUGGCUCUCGAUCUUGGGGUGGUGAGUUCCAGCCCCACACUGGGCGUGAAGCUUACUUUAAAAAAAAAAUAUAUAUAUAUAUAUAUAUAUAUAUAUAUAUAUAUAUAUAUAUAAUUACUCUAAAGUUGGGGCACAUGACUGGCUCAGUCAGUACAGCAUGACUCUUGAUCUCUGGGUUAUGAGUUCAAGCGCCACAUUGGGCGUUUAGCUUACUUAAUAAUUAUUCCAAGGGGCGCCUGUGGCUCAGUCGGUUAAGCGUCCGACUUUGGUCACUUUGGAGGUCAUGAUCUCAUGGUUCGUGGGUUCAAGCCCUGCAUCAGGCUCUGCACUGGAUCCUCUUGGAUCCAGUGGAGGCUCUGCACUGGAUCCUUGUGGAGCCUGCUUGGAUUCUCCGUCUCCCUCUCUCUCUGCCCUUCCCCUGCUCGCACUCUCCCUCUCUCUCUCAAAAGUAAAUAAACUUUUAAAAAUAAAUAAAUAAUAAAUAAUUGUUCCAAAAUAAAAGUUCAUUUAGAAAAUGUUGGUGCCUCUUACAAGGUGAUGACCAGGCUACUUGACUGGGUUUUGGGGGUUCUCCAACCUUAUCUUCCCCUUCUUUCACCCUGUGAAAGAAUCCUCUGUUUGGCUGAAUGGUUUUACUCACUGUCCUCCAGACAAAGUCUGUGCUCCCCUCUCCCCUGCGUUUGCCCUAGCCAUGUACCCUGCUGGACUGAUCACCUGCCAAGGAAUUGUCACGGUCCUUAACUGCAAACAGAAGUAAGCUAGUGUGAACCUACUGAGGCUCAAGCUUCAGGCCUGUCAUUUGCAAGGUCCCAGAGUGUGCACCAUGGCUGUUAGGAGAAAGUGAUCCCCCUGUAACCGCCUCUGCCACACAAAGAUCCUCACAGCCCUGAGACUCUGGGAGGUAUAUGUUAGUUGUAGUCUCGGCCACGUGUCCUUGACAUGCCAGGUAGCUGCAAGGGAGUCAGAUAGUAUCUGACUUUUCAUCUUCACUGUGUGAGGCCAUCUCUACCUCCAACCACAGUGGGAAAGUCCCCAAACACAGGAAGGGGAUUCAUUCACUGGUUCUCCACAAAGUGGCAGAUGUUCACUACAGGUGGUUUUUUAGAGCCAAAGCUUCCAUGAGGCACAGCAGGCUCAGGUGACACUUGGGAAAUCAGCUUGGUUUGGCCUGGAGGCUGCCUGGUACAGACUGUGCUCCUGCAUCUGACUCACUAGACCAGGGUCGAGGGGACUUCAUCUCCCGAGGGCACUUGACCUAAAACCUUUACAAUAAAAAGGGCCCAUGUACAUGUCCUUAGCAAUGGAAAAGGGUCGUACCGGGGAGGUGACAGCCACCUGAAGCGGGGGUGUUCCCCAAGGCAAGAGAGCACUGUCAUGGGAGAAGGUCUGUGUGCUCUGUACCCACGGUGGCACCAUCACUCCUCCGGCCACUGCAGCUAGAAAACUGGGAGCGUCUGACUCCUCCCUCUCACUCAUCCCCAACAUCCAGGCAAUCAUCUGGGGCUAGCUACUGCCCCCUAAUAUUUCUCAGGUCUGUCUCAUCAGUAAGCACCUUCUUCAGGAAGCCCUUGCUGACCUCCUACCUGGCUGGGAGGGGGAAGGUCAGGGGUCCGGCCUUUGUGCUCCUGUUGAGCACAAAGCUCAUUAACUUUGCAUGUAUCUUAUGGUUGCCCUUGCCACAUAGCAUUAAAAUGGUCUAUUUCCUCAUCUCUUUGUUCAAGCACAGAAUGCGCCUAUCCCUCUUUGUACCUCCAGUGCCUGGCACACAGGACUGCACAGCUCGAUAAACAUUAGACAGAUGGAAAGAAGGAAGAAGGGGAGAAGACAAGAAGUAGGCUGAGCUUGAGAAGGGCCCCUUGGACUAAGCAAUGAAAUGUCCCCCACACUCUUACCCCUUAAUGCUGCCUGCAGCAUGCUUGCCCCAGCCAGACUCAGAGCUGCCUCUCUGGUGUGAAGGGUACAAGUAGAAGACAGGCAGUGAGCCCUCUGAGCUUGCUCUCAGACUCCCCUGUGCCAGGUGAUCCUGGGGACACUGGGGACCAUGCAGGGCCUCAUUAGGAGGGACCUGUGGAAGACAAAAGAGGCCUCAGGCCCUGGGUGGGUUAAUCAGCAGCAUUAGCCCCAUACUGCCCUCCUCAGACUUCUACAUGAGAAAGGUAUAAACCUAAGUCACUGCUGUUUGGGGUUUUAUCAUUGUAUACAGCUGAACUAAUAAUCCCGUGGCUCUAAGCUUGCUGGAACAUUCUCUCUUGCCUCCUUCGGGGCCCUGCUUGCAAGGCAGGUGUGUGUCAGGAGGCUUGCAAUUGGAAGCCCCGGAGAAUGUUACCUGGCACUGGUGGCCCCCUGCAGCGGAUAGAUGGUUCCUGGGUCCCCAGUGCCAGCACAUGCAAGGAAUGAGGAAAUGGGGUGGGCAAGUCGUCCGGCCUGUCUACUCCUUGGGUUCCUUGCUCUGAAAACAAGAAAGGUGAUCUUCAAGGUUCGUAUAGCCUCAAGUUCAAAAUAUUUGUCUUAUGAAUGAAAAAGUAGCACGGAAGAGAUGGGGGGUUUAGGUGUAGGCAUUAUACCUGGGCUCCAGUCCUGGCUCGGCCACUAACCAGCCGUGCAUCUUGGACAAGUUCCUGCACCUCUCUGAGCCUCUGUUUUCCUGAAGUCUGAAAGUGAAACUAUCUUUGCGCCUGCUUUGCAGGGGUGUUUCAGGAUAAGAAAUACUGUAGACAAACGUCUGGGCACAGAGCGGCCACUCAGUAAGUGGGGCUGCUAGGUCUUUGUGGGUGGAAAGUCCUUCAGAGAGUCUAGCUGAGCCGAGCCCUGGGUGGUGAGGUGAGGAACAUGAUGGCAGGCAGGUAAGCAGUAUGGGCAAAGGAAGGGAUAGGCAUAAUGUGAUGGUGCAGAGUGGGUACAGACAGCGUGGUCCCAAACGGGGAGAGACGAUGCUUCCUUUCAAGUGUGACGCAAGACAGUCUACAACAGGUGCCACUUCCAGCAAAGGGAACUGCAUGGGUCACAUGGCCUAUGAGCUAGGCACUACACGAAAGCAGGAUUUGUAGAGCAGAAGCUGGAAGACAGUGGAGUUAACACCAUGGACCAAGGCAGAGAGCUGAGAGCGUGUCCUGUGUGUCCUGGGGGCGGGGAGGGCAACAGUGGAUGAGGAAUGCUCAAAUGCUUUAAACGGAGCACUUGGGCCCCUCUUCUCUGCAGGACAAUGACAAGACAGGCCAGCGAGGCUCCACUGCUCACGCUGUCUCCUACCUGCUUCCUCUCAGCACCUCUGCGUAGGCUGUGUCUGUGAGGCCGGAGCCAGAAGGCCUGGGUCUGGAAGGAGCCUCUGCGGUCCCCUGGGAGACCUGCAAAGGGGCUGGUACAGCACUUGUGUUCAGAAGGUGAAAGACUUGGAGAGCAGGCAAGCAGGCAUUCACUGCAGCUUCCUUCCCGCCUGGCGGCUGGCUGUGUGCCCUGAACUUGACCUCAGAUGACCUGUGUGUUCCCUUCCUGGAAACGGUUCCAUUGCCAGAAGCAGUUGAGCUUUGGCUUUGGCUUUCUUUCUCCUUCAGAGCAGGGACUCUGGCUUAGCUGAGAUUGGCUCGGCUACUGUAAAAGUCUCCCCAUUAGCUGAGCAGGACCUUGCUUUCUUGUCCAUCACCUACCACGGGGGUGGCUGCUACUCUCCACCUGUCCUCUUACCCCUUGUCAGCCUUCAGGGUUCUCAGUUUAGCUUUGGCGACUUUUAAGAGUGGAGAUAACUGCAUAGAUAAGGUGACUUUAAGAGUGCAAGAUCACUGCAAAGAUAAGGACAUAAAGACCAAGUGGGGGAAGUGUGAAAUGUUCUCCCCAGGCUGCUCAGCUAGUUAGCUGCGGAGCUGGGACAGCCCAGGAGUUCAAACUCUCAGACGAUGCUCUCUUUCUGGGCUAUGAGUUGCCUAACUCCACACUCCUCAAAUUCAUUAAGGCCGGAGGUGUGGACCUUCGCUAAUGUGCAAGUCUGGAUUAAUGUCAGUGUCUUGAAAUCCUCGUGUGACAAUGUGAAUUUUGUUUCAGGCAUUGUCCUUGGUAACUAACAAAUACCAUGCUUGGUUGUUUUGUGGAUUGGGCUGGCAUGAAAAAUAAUUCCAAAAAUGCUUGACUUUGCCCAGUGUCGCUGAUUAGUGUUGCUUUAGGAAAGGAAAUCCAGUAUUAGCCCCAGUAAGGGGAAGAAACUGCAACACUUUCUCUCUAGUCAAAUGCAUAAGGUAUAUACAUAGCAUACUUACCAAAGAAAGGGACUAAUUUCCAAUCAGCAUACAAGCUAGAAUGUUAUAAAUCCCAUAUAGGUUGCUUUGAUCCAAAGCCUUCACACUUACCUUUGGAGCCAGUUUAUGGGUCCCCGUAGAGAGCCAGGCUCUGUUUACCAUUCAACAGCAAUAUGUUGAACAUCUGGGUCCCAGGCACUGGGCAGGGUGCUGGGAAUACACUGGGUAGCAAAUAGGCACACGUGUACUUUAAGAGUGACCUCUUCACUUAAAGAAAUGUCUUCUCUAGGUUUGAAUGCCAUCUUAAUCAUCAGGUUUGGUUCUGAAAGAUAUUUUUGACUGCUUUCUAAAAUUAAGCUCCUCUCCAAAGGAUAGAGAAUGAAUUCACUGAUUGAAAUUACCCAGAAAAAAAAUUUAGCUUAGACAAAGGCAAUCUCAAAAGAGGAAUUCCCAAGACAUUUUAAGCAAUGGCCACGCAACCUCCCAAGGAGACGGUUAAAUAAGAAACAUGUAUUGGGAAGCGACAUUUAUUUAAAAUGCAAAGGCACAUUUUCAUGAGAACAAGGUUUUGGCUUCUGGAAGCCAGCCAUCUCUCAAAGCAAGAUGACCAAACGGUCUGAACCAACUCAGAUCUAUUGGUUGCUGUCUACUGGCCAUGAGCCCUUAGGCUAGGACUGUCCCGGGCGUCCACAUCUGACAGCACCUGCCUGCGGAAUCUCCAAAUCAAGGCAAGUUACAAGACUGACAGAGCUUAGAAACAAACCCGCUUAUUUACACGGGUUCCCCUGUUGCCGAGGGUAUUUCAUUGAUCAAAGAUAAGUGUUAUCAUUUGAGUUUCCAGGUUCUCACAAAGAGCUCAUUCUAUAUGUUUUCUAUUUUAUACAGACCUUUCUCAUUUACCCUCUCCCUCGAGGCCAUACCCCGACUCUUGUGGUAGGCAUUAAAAAUUCCCAUUGUACGGACAGACAAACUAAGGUUGGGUCAAAUGGCUUGCCAAAAGCAUACAGCUACAGCGGGCCACUGAUGGGGCUUGAGACCAGGUCUUGCAGUUCCUCCUCCAUCAGACACAGAGGCCUAAACUCCUGCAGAAACGUGUGAUGGCUUGUGCAAGCAGUGGGUCCCAGCCUGGCCAAACAUUAGACCUCACCCGGGUGUGGCUAGAUGUUGCCAAGGACAUGAGGCUUGGAGUCCCCACCCAGGCCCAUUCAAGGAGAAUCUCUGGGUGUGGGGCCUGGGCACCAGUAUUCUUGGAGUUCUCCAAGUGGCUGCAAUGGGCAAAACUGAAAUCAUUCUGUUAGUAAUCCGGAUCUGCUUCCUUCUUUCUCAAGGACCUGCUUUCCAGUUGUCUUUUUUUCAAUAAUAAUGUUCUAUUUCUCAAGUAUAGGAAUAAUACUUAUUUGUAGAAAUUUUAGAAGAAAGGUAGGACGAAGAAAAAAAUCGCCAAGAGAUCCAUUGUUAAUAUUUUGAUGUAUUCUCCUCUAAUCUUUGUACAUAUCUACUUACAAAUUUUGGUAAUAUAUACUAAUAUUUUCUUUUGAUUUCAUAUGGUAAAUAGUUUCCAAUGUUGCCAAAUAGUUUUCAAAAAUACUAUUUUAAUGUGAAAGCAGACAAGAUUUUUAAAUAUACUGUCCCCAACAUUAAUAGUGAUUAACAUUGGACUAAAUAAACACUUAAGAAAAUAAAAUAAAAUUAGUAAAAUCAUUAUAAUGGCUGCAUAAUAAUUUAAUGGGCUCACCUCCUAUAAAUCAAUCAAUCUUUAAUAUAGGACACUUAGAUUGUUUGUAGUUUUCUGUUGUUAUAAGUAAGUCUUCUAUGAAGAUCCUUGUACCUACAUUUCUGUGCACCACUUUCUUAGAAGUGAAAUUAAUGAGCUGGAGGGUAUAAACCUUAUGAAAUUUGUUGAUAAACAUUGCUGAAUUGCUUCCCAAAAGGGUACAUGAAUUGCUGGUCCCCUCGGUGUAAAGAGAAUUGGGAAAGAGAAUUGUUACAGUCUUUGCAAAAUUAAGUAUUUUCAUUCUGUGAUCCGUCAGUUUGCUAUGAUUAUUAAUGAGGCUGGACUUUUUAUAUCUUUAUUGGUCAUUUGUAUUUCUUCUUUUGUGAAUGUUCGUGUCCUUUGCCUUCCCCUGCCUUUUGGGUGUUUAUCUUUUUUCUUACAUAUGAAGCAUACUAAGUAUAUAACACUUUUCCAUUCAUUUGUUUUGUAAAUGUUUUCCCUAAAUUUAUCAUUUAAUUUGGGUUGUUGACAUACACAAGAGCUUAUUGAUUUUAUGCUCAGAAAUACCUUUAGACUGUUUGAUCAGGUAAAUAGUUACCAACAGUUUCUUCUACAAGUCUCAAUGAAUAAAAGCCUGCUUACAUAGGAGCAGUUUUUCUGGUUAAGCACGAUUUUAUUGGUCUGGACUAAGAAAACCAGUCCAUCUCCUACAGGAACCUGACUUGAAAUUAUCAAAACUAUAAUACUUUCUGGUUUACAUUCUUUGAACUACCCCACUGGAUACAUGAUAAUGUAAAAAACAUGUUGGUUGUUCCCAUCUUUGUAGGGCAAAACAUUUAAAUUUUUUUAAUGUUUAUUUAUUUGAGAGAGAGAGAGCCAGAGACAGAGCACAAGCAGGGGAGGGGUAGAGAGAAAGGGAGACACAGAAUCUGAAGCAGGCUCCAGGCUCUGAGCUGUUGGCACAGAGCCGGACGUGGGGGUCGAACCCGCAAACUGCGAGAUCAUGACCUGUAGUUGGAAGUUUAACCUACUGAGCCACCCAGGUGCCUCAGUAGGUCAAAAUAUUUAAAAGCAAACAGUAUGCAUAGCCUCUCGCAAAAGACUGCCCCACCCACAAAUUAACAAAGUCCGCUUUCUCUCUGAUUUCAGAAAUAGGGUAGGUUUUAGGAGGGUACCCCUGGGCCCUAGGUGGAGACUUUCUUUCAACCCAAGCCUCUCCUAGUCUCACGCCUUGGGGACAGACAGACUCUAAACCUGAGCAGGGUUGCUCUGGAAUGUAGUAUCUGGUAGGUACUUAUACUAAAAAAUUUUAUGUUGCUUCUCUGACCUUCAAAUUUAACUUGGAUGCCCUGUAUUUUUGUUUGCUAAAUCUGACAUCCCUGAUCCUGAGGUUUCCUUUCAGUGGUGAUGUUGGGGUCUGCGUCCCAGGCGUGCCCACAGGAAGCGGUACACAGACGUCGCACAACUGGUAGAUCACAUAAAGGUGUUUACCUGCCUCCCUCCAAAGAGGCUCUCAUGGCCAAGGGGCAGCCUCUUCCCUGGGCCCCAGGGAUACUUUCUAAGAAACCCACUGCAUUGACUUUUCUAUACCAAUCAGCAUGUACUUAGAAACCUAAGCUCUUCACCCAGGCCUUGUGGGCUGCUCCCAGGCUUGCUGCACGUCAUGGUUCCUCUUCCUCCUUUUUCUAGCAGCUGUGAGGUUCUUCUUGGGCUGGUGGAUCCAGGCAGGCCCAGGUAAGUGCCCAUCAUUGCCUCAUUCAGGUGUCCUUAGCCCACUACACGUUUUUGUUUGAGUGGCCAAUCUGUUCCCUGUGGCCUCUUUCUGCCUUGACACCUAUUUUCUGUCUUACGGACUCUUGCUUCACUAUAAAUAAUUAGAUUGCUUUCCAAAAGUUGGAUGCUCAAAUUCAUGUUUUAUUGUGGUUUGAAGUGGCCAAAUGACAGGUGGAUGUGGGUCAUGGCCUAGUCAUGCCUCCAUUAGGACAACCCUAAAGAAUGGCAAGAAGAGGGAGGCAUCAGCUCAUACCCCCUCCCUGGCUUAGCAGAUAAAUAGUACAGUGUUGGCAAUCCAGAAUACUUCCCCAGGAACAGUGCCAGAGUGACCUCGAGUGACUCAGUCCGUUAGUGCAGGUGUUCCCAAGAUCGCCUCUCCCGCUCCAUGGGGCACGGCUGCGUCCUUUUUACCUCUGGCCCAUUUAUCUCCAAAGGCUUCUAACGCAGAGCUUCUCAAUAUUGAGGGUGCCUAGGAAUCACCUGGAAGUCUUGUUAGAAUGCAGACACUGAAUGAGCAGCUCUGGGGCCUACUGAGAGUCUGCCCUCUUGACAAACUCAUCGCACCACUGCUGUAGGUCCACGGAUCACACUUUGAGUGGCAAGCGUCUGAAGCUUUUCCUGAUUGGCUGCAGGAUGGCCCAGGCGCCUGGUCUUUCCAAUUCCAGGGCUUUGGCGAAACCUCCAGGCCCAGGAGGUCGGAAUCCAAGGCAAUGUGAUCCACGUCUGUGAGAAAGGCAACCGCAGGGAGAGGGCAAGGAGGCACAUGGCAGCAUUGUACCUACUGCACUUCCCCAACCCCUCAUGACUUGCUUUGGCCCGUGAAAUGAGAGCAGAAGUAACUUGUAUUACUUCCGGAUGAACACUUGGAGAAUUAGUGCUUGAUUUGCCCCGUCCUCGCUUCCUGCCUUCAGGGUCGAGGAGGCAGCAUGUCCAGUUCCAGCUGCCUGCGUCCCUGGGUGGCUGUGGGAAACAGAGCUCCUCUUGACCCACAGUGGACACAUUUCAUGAUCGAGGAAUAAACUUUUAUGUCAAA